AACGAACGCUGGCGGCAUGCCUAACACAUGCAAGUCGAACGAGACCUUCGGGGCUAGUGGCGCACGGGUGCGUAACGCGUGGGAACCUGCCCUUAGGUUCGGAAUAACUCCCCGAAAGGGGUGCUAAUACCGGAUAAUGUCUUCGGACCAAAGAUUUUUCGCCUUUGGGUGGGCCCUCGUUGGAUUAGCCAGUUGGUAUGGUAAAAGCCUACCAAGGCGACGAUCCAUAGCUGGUCUGAGAGGAUGAUCAGCCACACUGGGACUGAGACACGGCCCAGAAUCCUACGGGAGGCAGCAGUGGGGAAUAUUGGACAAUGGGCGAAAGCCAGAUCCAGCAAUGCCGCGUGAGUGAUGAAGGCCUUAGGGUUGUAAAGCUCUUUUACACGGGAUGAUAAUGACAGUACCGGGAGAAUAAGCUCCGGCUAACUCCGUG
This 433-nucleotide ribosomal RNA is filed under the name uncultured bacterium. RNAcentral describes it as "partial 16S ribosomal RNA". It matches the Rfam family "Bacterial small subunit ribosomal RNA", at positions 29 to 507 of the family's 1533-position model. The record is from RNAcentral.